AGUGAACGCUGGCGGUAGGCCUAACACAUGCAAGUCGAACGGCAGCACAGAGGAGCUUGCUCCUUGGGUGGCGAGUGGCGGACGGGUGAGGAAUACAUCGGAAUCUACUCUGUCGUGGGGGAUAACGUAGGGAAACUUACGCUAAUACCGCAUACGACCUACGGGUGAAAGCAGGGGAUCUUCGGACCUUGCGCGAUUGAAUGAGCCGAUGUCGGAGUAGCUAGUUGGCGGGGUAAAGGCCCACCAAGGCGACGAUCCGUAGAUGGUAUGAGAGGAUGAUCAGCCACACUGGAACUGAGACACGGUCCAGACUCCUACGGGAGGCAGCAGUGGGGAAUAUUGGACAAUGGGCGCAAGCCUGAUCCAGCCAUACCGCGUGGGUGAAGAAGGCCUUCGGGUUGUAAAGCCCUUUUGUUGGGAAAGAAAUCCAGCUGGUUAAUACCCGGUUGGGAUGACGGUACCCAAAGAAUAAGCACCGGCUAACUUCGUGCCAGCCGCCGCCGUAA
This 506-nucleotide ribosomal RNA is filed under the name uncultured bacterium. RNAcentral describes it as "partial 16S ribosomal RNA". It matches the Rfam family "Bacterial small subunit ribosomal RNA", at positions 29 to 523 of the family's 1533-position model. The record is from RNAcentral.